AGCGAACGCUGGCGGCAGGCCUAACACAUGCAAGUCGAACGAACUCUUCGGAGUUAGUGGCGGACGGGUGGGUAACACGUGGGAACGUGCCUUUUGGUUCGGAAUAACUCAGGGAAACUUGUGCUAAUACCGAAUGUGCCCUUCGGGGGAAAGAUUUAUCGCCAUUAGAGCGGCCCGCGUCUGAUUAGCUAGUUGGUGAGGUAACGGCACACCAAGGCGACGAUCAGUAGCUGGUCUGAGAGGAUGACCAGCCACACUGGGACUGAGACCCGGCCCAGACUCGUACGGGAGGCAGCAGUGGGGAAUAUUGCGGAAUGAGCGAAAGCCUGACGCAGCCAUGCCGCGUGAAUGAUGAAGGUCUUAGGAUUGUGAUAUUCUUUCACCGGAGACGAUAAUGACGGUAACGGGAGAAGAAGCCCCGGCUAACUACGUG
RNAcentral lists this ribosomal RNA (433 nucleotides) under uncultured bacterium. RNAcentral describes it as "partial 16S ribosomal RNA". It matches the Rfam family "Bacterial small subunit ribosomal RNA", at positions 29 to 507 of the family's 1533-position model. The record is from RNAcentral.